UACGGAGGGUGCAAACGUUGCUCGGAAUCAUUGGGCGUAAAGCGCACGUAGGCGGCUCAGCAAGUCGGGUGUGAAAGCCCUCGGCUUAACCGAGGAAGUGCAUUCGAAACUACUGAGCUUGAAUAUUGGAGAGGAUCGCGGAAUUCCCGGUGUAGAGGUGAAAUUCGUAGAUAUCGGGAGGAACACCAGUGGCGAAGGCGGCGAUCUGGACAGAUAUUGACGCUGAGGUGCGAAAGCGUGGGGAGCAAACAGG
This 253-nucleotide ribosomal RNA is filed under the name uncultured bacterium. RNAcentral's name for it is "partial 16S ribosomal RNA". It matches the Rfam family "Bacterial small subunit ribosomal RNA", at positions 524 to 776 of the family's 1533-position model. The record is from RNAcentral.